UCGGUAGUCUAAGGAUUUACGUUGCAGUAUGUUUUUCCUCUUCCUUCGAUCCUUGGCAUUCGUAGAACACAAGCCAUAUGUGAGAUUCCUUGUUAGAGAACUGAAACCCUAAUCGUAAAAACUUUGGGUUGUGUUUUUCGGUUCUUCAGGUAUUUACUAAUUCCUUCUCUAAACGCUUGCGUAAUUUUCUUUUUCAAUUCUGUUUGUGAGCGUUAAUGACUUGCAACAAAUUUGAUUCUCUAAUUUAGAAAGUUAGGAAUUCUGAUUAUAUAUGCGUUCUUGUUCUUCAGUCAUUCAAUGAGACCCAAACACCCCCGGACCCAUGUCUAUCUCUCUAACUACGGUCCCCCGAUACCCAAAUCUACCUCGGCAUGUCUGCAAUCGAAGAUCUGUAAGUUUCAUUAUUUUUAUUCUUUUCUUUAUUUUACGUUUAUAGGGUUUUUCUGUAAUUGAGAAUGAUGACGUGAUUUUAUUUUGUCAAUUAGGGUUUUGAUUUUACUCUUUCUAAUUUAGGAUUCUACUAUCACCCUGUCUUCUUCAUCUUCUUUUCGUUGAUUUUUUUUUUCUGUAAAAUCUGAUUUUUUAGGUUUGUUUCUGUCGUAUUGUGUUGUUGAUCAUUUGAUAGAUAAAGUCUGGUGUGUUUGGUUAGUUUUGUUGCUCGUUUGAGAACUGUCUUGUAGAUUCAAUGUUAGGAAAAAGUAAUUUUAUGAGAUCACCAGAUUUUAUUCAAAUUUAUGUGAUCGUGUAAGACUCCAUAAGUUAAAACUAUAUUUAAUUUGUUUCUUGUAUCUCUUCCUUUGAUCUGCAUAUUACUAAUAUUACUAAUAAUAGAAUUCUGUCAAACUCUUGGAUCUACUCAUAUUUCUAUAUUUAACAUGAAAAUAUAUUUCUAUAUUUAACAUGUAAAUUUUCAUGGCCAUAACAUGAUAACCUCAUUUUCUUGUAUCUUUAAUGGACUCGUGGCUUUAAAGGCAAUGUAGUUGUAGUUCACUCCUAUUGUUAUCUAGUUAUGUUGACCAUUCCUGAUGAUCUGCGUAUUACUUUUAAAUGUCUUUUAUUUGGUACUAAGAAACAUCAUGAAGUGGUUUUUCUUAUGGAAUUAUGGUUUACAACAGUCAUAAAGCAUUAUUUUUCUUUUUUCCUUUUCCUGCUUUUAUCUAAUAAUAUGUGAUCUUUAUUGUGAUUCUACUUGUUACUUGGUGUCUGAAGUUUGCAUACUUACAGAAUUAGGUGAGAUGAACUCCAUCAGUGUUGUGGAAUGAAAUCAUUGUUUAAUAAAAAAAGCAACAAAGUGGAUUCUGAUGGGUCAUCACCUGUAAGUUUUGAUCCCUUUUGUUUUUUAUUUAAAAUCUUGCUUUGAUUUCUUUCAAUUUCAUUAGGGUAUUUCCAUUUUAUUUGUAAUUUUCUAUGUGAUGCUAGGUUAAAGUGGUAGGUGUAAGGCAAUAUCCUUAUAUUAAAUGUGAAACAAUUUACUUAUCAUUACAUAACACUACAAGGAAAACGAUCAUUAGCCGCGACAAAAGUCGUCGGUAAUAAGUCAAGUUGUCGCCGAUAAUAGUAAUAGCGGCGAUGCGUCGCUGGUAGUAAGUUGCUACUACUAUUUCGUCACUAUUGAUGAACUUGUCGCAGCUAAUGAUAGAUGUCGCGAAUAAUGACCGUGUCACCGCUAAUGAUAGAUUUCACCGCUAAUGACCAUGUCGCCGGUAAUAACUCUGUCGCCGGUAAUAGUGUCACCAGUAAUUACAAUUUUCAUUUUUAAAAUUUUUUUUUGUAAUUAUUGAUUUUGUUUGCUGGUAAAAAUGUACUCGGUAAUUACAUAACAACAUUUGAUUAAAUAUAAAAAAUAAUAGUGUUGACGUUAAUUACAAAACAAACAUCCGAUUAUAAUUAAUUAAAUAUCAAAAGUCAUAAUAUCCGAUUAAAUAUAAAAAGUAUUAAUAUCGUCUGGUAUUAGUGUCGCCGGUAAUUACAAAAAACAACCAAAGUUUUACAAUCUACCAAGUAGCAAAGCAUGACAACGUAUGCAAAUAAAACUCAUCCUGACCUACAUACCAUCAUCUUCGUUCCCAUCGUUUCCUCGAUUAUUUUGGGAAUGAAAAAACGAAUGCAGCUCAUCCCUACAUGCCGGGUCGUUCAGCAUGGCACAAAGAUUUUCCAACUACAUAAUUAAUAACAACAUAUAUAAACUUAUAAGUUCAAUUAUCAAACAUAAACAAAAACUAUCAAAAUACAUUGUUAUUUUUAAACUAAGACAAGAAACCAAAGUACGUUGUUAUUUUUGCACUUGGGACACAAAUCUAAUUACCAAAGUUUUUAGCAAAUAAUCACCACAAAACCAAAAUUACCAAAUCAACAUGCAUUUUACGAUGCUAAAGUAGAUUGCUAUUUUUAAACUAAGACCAAAAACCAAUGUACGUUGUUAUUUUUUGCAUUUGGGACAAAAACCUAAUUACCAAAGUUUUUAGCAAAUAAUCACUACAAAACCAAAAUUACCAAAUCAACAUACAUUUUACGAUGCUAAAGUAGAUUGUUAUUUUUAAACUAAAAAAAAACCAAAGUACGUUGUUAUUUUUUGCACCUGGGACAAAAACCUAAUUACCAAACUUUUUAGCAAAUAAUCACCACAAAACCAAAAUUACCAAAUCAACAUACAUUUUACGAUGCUAAAGUAGAUUGUUAUUUUUAAACUAAGACAAAAAAACCAAAGUACGUUGUUAUUUUUUGCACUUUGGACAAAAACCUAAUUACCAAACUGUUUAGCAAAUAAUCACCACAAAACCAAAGUAGAUUGUUUUACCUGUGAUGGUUGUGGUGAUGGUUGCGAAGGCUGUGGAAUCGGCGGGAGAGUAGAAGGUUUAUGGCCGAUGCCUCUAAUAUGGCUACGUCGCUCUCCUAAUACUUUCUCUAACACAGUUCUUUCUUGAGUGGGUGUUAACUGACUUUCACCUUGAGUUUGUUCUAACAACUAUUCAACUAACCGAUUUUAUAACUUCUAAAAGUGAGUAACAAUUAAGUAUAAAUAAACAUUUAACUAUAUGAUAAAAUUAUAAUUAAAUACUUACAUAUUGUUGUUCCGCCUCAGUUGUAACAAAUACAUCAUUCUUAUCGGUAUGAGCUUUGCGAAACGUUUCCACUCUCUUAAGGUUCUGUUUAACUUUAAAAAUUAGAUUAUAUUUUAAAUAAAUAAUUACAUAUAUCGUACGUUACCUUCUUAUAGCAACUACUGCUAUACGAGCUCGACCCCCACGAUUCGCAUUUGUUUGCAUUUCACGGAUUUUUUUGUUCUUUUCUGAAGCAAUUAUGUGUUCGUUUGUUUGGAAAUACUCAACUGCUUUUUUCCACUUAUCAACUUCCAUACCCUCUGGAGGGUUGGCUAUUGCUCUCGGGAUAUCUUCAUACCCUCCGACUAACAUAAAAUAUUCUUUUGCGUCAGCUUUACGUUCUCGAUAACCUUUUAACAAAGCUGCUUGGAAACUCUCUGUCAACAUAUUAACUUGUCAUCUCGGUACAUCUAAUCUAAAUCAAACUUUGUCUACAAAUAAAAAAGUUAACCAAGUAAAAAACAAUUAUAGUUAACCAUAUAAAAUAUAUUUAAAUAAAUAACUGCCGCUAAAUGUUGUAAUACGGUGUCCUGUAUUGCAGGGGAAACUUUUUUCCAAGUGCAUUUAUCAAAAGGGACCAUCUGCCACAUUGUUUUUCCAACUUCUCGGGAAAACAUGUCUUUCGGCUCUCCUACGGGAUCAAAUGUGAUAUCCCUAUCAUAUUCCAUGCUAAUCGGUUUGCCCUGGUUCCAUAAGAUCGUUUUUUCAAGCUUUAUAUUUUUCGAUUUGCCUCGAACUUUCCUUUGUGCAAGUUGCUCAACUACAAAUGUAAUUAAAAAUUAUUAGAAACGGUAUUUAAUUUAUAAUAGCUGAACAAAAAUAGUAAACAACAAUUCAUAACAAGACUUACCGUCCUGCUCGUGAUGACCAACACCUCUACCACCUGGGAGAGGUGCGUCCUCAGCUCCAUCACCCCCCGUGUCCACGACCCAUAACAGCUGCCAUGGUAUACAUAAACAAAAGCCAUAUUGUCAUCAUUUCUUGAAAAACUUAUAAGAUAUACAAAUAUAAUUUUUAUUACAAAUACACAUUACAUAGAAAUAAACAUUUACAUAGGAAUAAACAUUUCUAUUUAAACAAGAACUGUUCUAAUCAGAAUAUUCCUCAUAUCCUUCGGUGUCUUCUUCUGUAUCAUAAUCAUAAUCGGUCUCAUCGUAAUCAGUUUCGCAAUCAGAAACAUCAUUGACUAUACCAGUAUAGCAUCCUACUUAUACCAAAACCACAUACUUUUCCACAUAAUACACAAGAGAAUGAAAUUCACAUACUUUCACACACAUAUACCACGUAUACACCAAAUACAAAUACAUUCACAUACACACAAAAUAACAUCCUACUUAAAUUAAAUACACAUAUUUUCACAUAUAUAGCUAAUAACAUCCUAUUUAUACCAAAUACAAAAAUUUCACAAUCAUAUACCACAUUUACGACAAACAUACAUAUAUUCACAUACACACAAUAACAUCCUACUUAUAACAAAUACAUAUAAUUUCACAUAUAUAUAGAUAAUAACAUCAUGUAUAUACUUCUACCAAAUACUCAUACACCACAUAUACAUCAAACACACAUACAUUGGCAUAUAUACACCAAAUUCACAUAUAUUUAUACAAAUACCAAAUAUACAAUCUAAUUUUCACAUAUGGCAAUUUUCACAUACAAAUACGAAAUUCACAAAAAAAUGAAAUAAUAGAACCUGUAGUGGCGGAAAUCAACGGAUAUGUAGCCGGAAAAUUUGGUCUUCACCCGAAAAUACCCUCACCGGUAAACCCAAAGACAACACCACCAAAAACACUGAAAUUAAACAAUUUAUUGCAAUUUAAUCAUCAAAUUCGGCUCUUAAUAAUCACCAAAUGUCCCUAAAGACUAAACUACAAAUGGAAGUAAUACAAGAAUCAAAUUCAUUUUUUUUUCUAAUCCAAAGACAACACCACCAAAAACAAGAAAUUGAACAACUUAUGGCCAUUUAAUCAUCAAAUGCAGCUACAAAUCGAAAUUAACAUACAAAUUAAAAAGGAAACAACAAAAUCAACUAACAUUUCUUCAAGAAAUAAAGCUAGAAAUCGGUCAUAAAAGCCCUAACCACCCCUUGAUCCUUAAUCUCACACAAUGUGGGGAGAUAUGUAGUUGGAACAACCUAAUUGAAGACAAACUCGGUAGAAGCUGAAAGAGGCGUAGUGUGGGAUGCAACAAACAGAAAGCAAAAUGGGAGAAAUGAAGAAACUGCGUGCAUUUUUUUAUCUGCGAGAGCCUUUAGCGGCGACAAUUAGGGAUUUACCGACGACAACGGUCAAUAGCGGAGACAAUCUGAAGGGAAGGGUACCGCGUCAUUUUUUAACUAACUAUUAACGUCGACAUUUUUACCUUUUAGCGGCGACACAUAUGUCGCCGGUAUUAGGUUAGUGCGGAUAAGGGACCCCAACCGUUGGAUUGGAUAUUUGAUUGAACGACUUAGAUGUAACGGAGGGGGAAAACACGGAUUCAGGUGAUAACCCUUUAGCGGCGACGUGUAAUUUUAGCGGCGACUCUAGCAUUUAUCGCCGCUAAAAGUCCACGUCGCAGGUAAUAGUGUCGCCGCUAAAGGGUGAUAUUCUUGUAGUGUAUCAUUUGUUAAUAUAUUUGUGGGAAUGCAGACUUUUAUUUAUAGUAUAUUACGCCUUAGUUGGUGGAAACAAUCAAAGUAUGAGUACUGAAGUGUAAAUUUAACAACAUAGGAAGCAGACUGCUAUGAUAUGGUAAAAACUUUUUUUUUUNNNNNNNNNNNNNNNNNNNNNNNNNNNNNNNNNNNNNNNNNNNNNNNNNNNNNNNNNNNNNNNNNNNNNNNNNNNNNNNNNNNNNNNNNNNNNNNNNNNNUAAUUUUGGGUGAGUAUCUAAUACUUGUAUUCGUAUUUGAGGAAUGAGAGAGAUGUGAUCAUAUUUCUAAUUUUUCUGUAUAUAUUUAUGUUUAUUUUUCUACUCUGAAACGAACACUGAAAACAUAAAAAUCUCACAACAAAUGUAUCAUAAAGAAUUAAAACUUCUACUAGGAAUAAUUCCGAUGUUAGUUGUUUCUAGUUAAGUUGCACGGAAACGGAUACGGCAAUGGGAAACAGAACGGAAACGGGAAAUGACAAAACUCAAAAAUUCAAGAUACGGAUAGGGCAAAGAUACGGCAAUAUAAAAAUACUAUAUANNNNNNNNNNNNNNNNNNNNNNNNNNNNNAGGUUGGUAUAUUGAUGUACUUGAUCCUUGUGUUUCUUGUUCCUGUGAGGCCAUAAUAAUCGAUUUCUGAAUUGGUGAGUGUUGAAUUACUGAAUUUUUUCUUGUUCAGUUAUUCUUGAUCGUCGACAGGAAGGUGCGCAAGGCAGUAAACGACUUCGACUAUAAUUAUCCAGGGAGACAGCGAUCAGUGAAAGUUGUAGGGUAAUUACAGCCCGUUACUCCAUUAGCCUAUUUGGACUUGAAAAGCCCACGCAAAAUAAAAAAGAAUCAGAAAACUUUGUGGAAACUUACCCGAAACGUUUCUGGAUUUGUUUAUAUGUCCAAGAAACGUUUCACUACCGUUUCCCCUACAUAUUCGUUUCCCCCCGAGUAUCUGAUACGGGUACGGCGCCCUAACUGCCGUUUCCAUUCGUGAUAGGUUUCUAGUAUCUUUAGUUCGAACUCUAUAUUGGUUAAUUCAGUUAAAAUCAAAAUGUUCAGUGAAAAUACGAAUAUAAUGUCUUUAAAAAAACAAAUUGAACGAAUAUAAUGUCUUUAAAAAAACAAACAUAAGGGAGUAGUUUGUUUGUCACCGGCGAUUUUUCCAACAACAUUUAUAAAUUAUGGCCAUGUAAAUUAUUCAUUUAUAUUUUGAAAUAUAAAAAUAAAUCGGAAAAUAAAGAUACCGAUGUAAAUUAUUCAUUUAUAUUUUUAAAUAUAAAAAUAAAUCGGAAAAUGAAGAUACUGAUCAUUUUUCCUUUUUUCCUGAAGUCCUAUCCUCUUGGAGCGUUUUGACGAAGUGAACCCGUGGAUUAACCGAAACCAUAGAUCAAUAGCAUCGUCUAACCAAUUUAACCAUGUGUUAUUGCUGAUGCAAAUCAUCCAAUCAUCACUGAUAAAACUAUAUCGUUGAUACCUCGGAUACUCACAGAAAGUCGGUUCAAUUUGGAAAUGGUUCGAUCAUAAAAUUCUCUAAAUUAAAAAAAGACAUCAAUUGUAAAGGAACAACUUCUUCCAUUUUUUCUCUCUAACAGACAGCGUAAUACUUUUAAACAAAGUACUUUAAAUAAUAUAUAACCAUGUAAAUAAAUAUAAACGGUUUUUCAAACUUACAUUUCGAUCAAUGUGGACAACGAAGAGUUUGUACGUGCUAACAUCUCUCUAAAUGAAAUCCACUAUGACCAAUUGUCAAAAUAUACCAUAAAUAAGGAUUUAGUAGCAAUGAAAAGAUGUUAACAUAUGUGUGUCCAUCCAUGAUUCUACAAAAAAAUUCAAUGCUAACUUUAUUUAUUGGGUAUAAAUAAUAAUAAUAAAUAUUAUUUAAAUAAGUUUGAGAUCGACUACAAGGGUGAAAGAAAGAAAGAUGUGGAGUAUUAUGGCACACAGGUGGAGUAUUGAGAACAACUAUUCAUCAAACAUUUUUAUGUAAGUUUGCAUGAAAUUCGACUAUGAGUCGUCAAUACGGAUACACAGCUUGUGUCAUAAUAGAAUUUUAAGUAGAUUUACAUAAAAAGUUUGAUGAAUAGUUAUUUUCAAUAACCCACACGUAUCAUAUCCCACAUCUCCCUUUCUCUCACCCUUAAUAGUAGAUCUCAAACUUAUUUAAAUAAUUAUUAUUAUAAUUACUUACACCCAAUAAAUAAAGUUAGCAUUGAAUUUUUUUUUUGUAGAAUCAUGGAUGGUGAAUUUUUUUUUUGUAGAAUCAUGGAUGGACACACGUAUGUUGACACAUUUUCAGUGCUACUAAACCCUCAUUUGUGGUAUAUUUUAACAACCGGUCCUAGUGGGUUUCAUUUGGAAAGAUGUUAGCUCGUACAAACUGUUCAUUGUCCACAGUGAUCUAAAUGUAAGUUUGAAAAACCAUUUAUAUUUUAUUUACAUGGUUAUAUAUUUAUUUAAAGUACUUUGUUUAAAAGUAUUAUGUUGUCUAUUAGAGAGAAAAAAUGGUAAGAGUUGCUCCUCUACAAUUGAUGGCUUUCUUUAAUUUAGAGAAUCUAUAGAGAGGGGUUUCUCCUUGAACCAUUUCCAAAUUAAACCAACCUAUUGUGUGUAUACAACAAUAUUGUCAAUAGCAUCAUCGCGAUCACUAAAGCGAAUAGUGAGACAAGGCAAUGAAGUGUGUCGGUAUGGGGUUCAUAGCGACUGAAUAGCGAAUAGCAAAUAUCGAAUAGCGAAUAGCGACAUGGCGACCUGUUCAUUUUUUUAUAAAUCUUGUAUAAAUAGUCCCAUUAUAGGGUUUUUAGUUGACUAAGUCAAAGAGUGCAUCGAAUAUCUAAAAUUAACACUUGUUUUUUUUUUGUAAUAUACAUGUUUUAGAACUGAUUUGAACUAUUAUUCUUGGUUUUUAACUUAUUUAUUUGUUAUAAUUGCUAAUUAGGCGAGGUAAAAAUAGUAUUAAUUUUUAAUAAGCAUUCUCUAAAAAAUGAAAUAGUAGUUAUUUCAUAGCUAUCGCUACAUAUCAUAUAGGUAGGUGGUUGCUAGUACCACGCUAUCGCUAUCGCUAUCAAUAACACCGAUAUACGAGGCAUCAAGGAUACAAUUUUAUCAGUGCUAUUAGAGGAUUCACAUCAGCAUAACACAUAACAUGGUAAAAUCGGCUAGGGCGAUACUAUUGAUUGAUGGUUUCUGUUUAUCUAUUGGUUUCCUCAGUCGCAACUCUCCAAGAAAAGGAUAGGACUUCAAGCCAAAUAAUCAAUGUGUUUUACUUUUGAUUUAUUUUUUAUAUCAUUUUUAUAUUUAAAAAUGAAAAUGAAUAAUGUUACAUGUCACGAUUUUUAAAUGUUGUUGGAAAAAUCAUUGGUGGCAAAUAAACUACUCCUUUAUGUUUGGCUUUUCAAAGGCAUUAUAUUCAUUCAAUUUGUUUCUUCCAAGAUAGAUUGUAAGUAUAUAUAUAUAUAUAUAUAUAUAUAUAUAUGUGNGUUAAUAUUUUGAACUAACAAUAAUUUAAACAACUAUUGACAAUAUUUUGUUAUAAAUAAGGGAAUCAAAUAAAGAUGAAGUUGCAUGUAACACCACGGAUACGGAAUCAAAUUGUAAAAACCUAAUACGUGUUAAAAAAACAUAUAAUAUACGAUUCUCGGGUAAAACUGGUUCAUUUAAAUUCAAAUAAGUUUCUUUUGUUUUAGAAAAUUUAUAUAUUUUUAUUGAUAUCAAAAUAAUUAAGAAAAUCCAUUUUAUUAAUUAUUAUCAUAUUUUCAGUUAACAUUUUGAUUUCAAAAUUAACCAACAUAGAGUUCGAACCAAGGAUACAAGAAACAACUAACAUCAUAAUUAUUCCUAGAAGAAUUAAAUUAGUGGUAAGAUUUUUAUAUUUUCAAUGUUUGUUAGUUUCAGACUUGGUCUAUUUUAUUGUCAAGCAUUUAGUGAUGAAUGUUUGAUAUUUUUGGUGUGUGUUUGUUUGAGACUUGAUCUAUAUCAUUAUCUUAUAUUUUUUUGGUGAAUGUUUUAUCUAUACAUAAUUUUUGUAUGUUGAAUUCUUCUUGAUUUACAGAUGUUUUACAUAUUGAUAAGUUUAUUAAUAUAUUGAUGUCAACAUGUUUACUAAUUUAUAUCUUUCAACUUCAAUUGUGAUUUUUUUUAUGUUGAUUUUUUUUUUCUGUUUCAUAUUUGCUAACAUGCUAAUUGUAUUUUAUUAUUUAUAACUGAAAUUACGAUUAACAAAUUUUACUAAAAACUCAAUUAAUCAUUCAUGAUUGCUUCAUCGGAAGUCCACGAGACAUGCAAAGAAGAUAUCUAGAUGCCAUGACUUUAGUUUAAGAUGGAGAGAGGCCUGAUAUUCUUUACAAUGACAUGCGACCCAAUAUUGAAAGAAUUGAUGAUGAACUGUUGAUAGGCAUUAAGAUCGACCAGAAUUAUGAGAGCUUUUUGUGCUAAGUUAGAGGAUUUCUAGGUAAUUAUUCAAGAAGCACACAAUCGAUGUGGUCAGUCAUAUGUUUAUUUUGUAGAGUUUCAAAACGUGGAGUGCCACAUGCAUAUUUCCUCUUAAUAAUAAGAGUUGGAUAUAAAUGGCGAGAGUUUGGAUAUAAAAUGACCAAUCCAGACAAUUAUGACAAAAUGGUGUGUGCCAAAUUCCAAACCUAAUAAGGUUUUCGAAAAUGCACGAUUUGGUCAAACGUUACAUGAUGCAUGGUCCUUGUGGUAUUUUACGAGAAAAAAGUAUGCAUAGUAUGCAGGGUGUGCCAAAUGAACGAUUCCAUACUUUUAAACCUUUGGGUAUAAGCGGUAAAAAGAUGAAUGUCCUGCAGUUACCAUGCCUGGAAUUUAUAAGUACAAAAAUUAAGAGUAUAAUUCUUUAAUAGGUAACGAAAAACAAACAAAUUUAGUUUCUUAGUGAGAAAAUAAUAAAAGUGACAGCCUCAAAGACUAAUAUGGUGAUAUGUUAAUUAUGACGCACGGAGAUGGUUACAUGGUCUAGUACUAGCAAAAACAAAAUCAUUGGUUGUGUAUGUUAAGAAAGGCAGGUAUUAGAUUCACUACAAGAAUAUCACCCUUUAGCGGCGACACUAUUACCGGCGACGUGGACUUUUAGCGGCAACAAAUGCUACAGUCGCCUCUAAAAGUUCACGUCGUCGGUAAUAGCAUCGCCGUUAAAGGGUCAUCACCCGAAUCUGCGUUUUCCCCCUCCGUUACAUCUAAGCCGUUCGAUCAAAUAUUCAAUCCAAUGGUUGGGGUACCCCUUAUCCGCACUAACCUAAUACCAGUGACAUGUGUCGCCGCUAAAAGGUAAAAAUGUCGUCGCUAAUAGUUAGCUAAAAAAUGACGCGGUACCCUUCCCUCCAGAUUGUCGCCGCUAUUGACCUUUGUCGCCGGUAAAGACCUAAUUGUCGCCGCUAAAAGUGUCGCAGCUAAAGGCUCUCGCAGAUAAAAAAAAAACACACAGUUUAUUUCUCCCAUUUUGCUUUCUGUUUGUUGCAUCCCACACUUCGCCUCUUUCAGCUUUUACCGAGUUUGUCUUCAAUUAGGUUGUUCCAACUAUAUAUCUCCCCACAUUGUGUGAGAUUAAGGAUCAAGGGGUGGUUAGGGCUUUUAUGACCGAUUUCUAGCUUUAUUUCUUGAAGAAAUGUUAGUUGAUUUUGUUGUUUCCUUUUUAAUUUGUAUGUUAAUUUCGAUUUGUAGCUGCAUUUGAUGAUUAAAUGGCCAUAAGUUGUUCAAUUUCUUGUUUUUUGGUGGUGUUGUCUUUGGAUUCCUCAAAUACGAAUACAAGUAUUAGAUACUCACCCAAAAUUAAGUAAUAUUUGAUCUUUCUUUAAGAAAAUUAGCAAACUUUUUGAAAUAACAGAUUAAUAUAAUACAAAUGUAAUAUGUUUAUUUGAACUAAUUAAUAAAAUUCCAAAUCUAGUUUUUUAUAUUAUGUUAAAUAUUCAACAAUGCUUAAGGAUCCACAUAUUUUGAUUAACCAAUUAAAUCCGUCAAUCCCAUGACUGUAUACUUUAAAAAUCUCAACUUUGAUUUGGUUUUGAUUUAUAGCUUUUUACUUAGAUUUAUUUCCCUUUAAAACAUUAUACUUCUACUUUUUUCAUAUUAAGGUAUUGUAUUUUGAAAAACUAAUCAAGCUUACUACUUUAAUUUAAUGCAUUAUGCUAUUAUGCUUUCAAUGGUGAUUGGCUCUUCCAGGUAAAUGGCAUAUCAUUACUGGUUAGAAAAAGUAAAGAGUUACAAUGUAAUACAUUCAAUAUGUGAUUUAUUCUGACAUUGUAUAUAAUUUCUUAUUAAGAUAUUGCACUUCAAAAUCCAACAUAUUAAUACAUUUUACCAUUAACAUUUAAACUUGUUUCUUCAUCCAACUAUUGGAUAAUUGAAAUAGUUUCAUUUUUAGCGUUGUACUUUCAUGAUAUUAUAUCGUUAUAUUUUUAUCUAUUAUAACAUCAUUCUUUCAUUUAUAGCAUCACACUUUCAACUUUCUUCUUAUUAUCACAUUAUCAUAUGAAAAUGCAACCCAUUUUUAUCGGUGAAGAUUAAUUUGUUUUUGGAUGACAUUGUAAUAGUUGGGUAGGAUUUCCAAAGCACAUUGCUAUAAUAGUAAGAAAUAAAAGUAAACAAAUAAAUACAAGUACACUGCUAGUUCUUACAUUUAACUUGUUUAGGAAAUUAUGUAGUUCAUUUCUUGCCCACAACAUACUUCCAUUUAUUUGUUACUAUAUAUAUCCUUUACUUUAAUAUCUUUCUGUUACAAAAUUGUGCUUUCAGUCUUUUCUUAUUAAGGCACUUAAGAAUCUACCCAAUUAUAGCAUUUUUAGCUGCUUUCUAUAAUAAACAAAGAAUACUUUUAGACACCAUUUAAGAUUUCUGAGAAAACAAAAAAAAAAAGUUUUUACCAUAUCAUAGCAGUCUGCUUCCUAUGUUGUUAAAUUUACACUUCAGUACUCAUACUUUGAUUGUUUCCACCAACUAAGGCGUAAUAUACUAUAAAUAAAAGUCUGCAUUCCCACAAAUAUAUUAACAAAUGAUACACUACAAGAAUAUCACCCUUUAGCGGCGACACUAUUACCUGCGACGUGGACUUUUAGCGGCGAUAAAUGCUAGAGUCGCCGCUAAAAUUACACGUCGCCGCUAAAGGGUUAUCACCUGAAUCCGUGUUUUCCCCCUCCGUUACAUCUAAGUCGUUCAAUCAAAUAUCCAAUCCAACGGUUGGGGUCCCUUAUCCGCACUAACCUAAUACCGGCGACAUAUGUGUCGCCGCUAAAAGGUAAAAAUGUCGACGUUAAUAGUUAGUUAAAAAAUGACGCGGUACCCUUCCCUUCAGAUUGUCUCCGCUAUUGACCGUUGUCGUCGGUAAAUCCCUAAUUGUCGCCGCUAAAGGCUCUCGCAGAUAAAAAAAUGCACGCAGUUUCUUCAUUUCUCCCAUUUUGCUUUCUGUUUGUUGCAUCCCACACUACGCCUCUUUCAGCUUCUACCGAGUUUGUCUUCAAUUAGGUUGUUCCAACUACAUAUCUCCCCACAUUGUGUGAGAUUAAGGAUCAAGGGGUGGUUAGGGCUUUUAUGACCGAUUUCUAGCUUUAUUUCUUGAAGAAAUGUUAGUUGAUUUUGUUGUUUCCUUUUUAAUUUGUAUGUUAAUUUCGAUUUGUAGCUGCAUUUGAUGAUUAAAUGGCCAUAAGUUGUUCAAUUUCUUGUUUUUGGUGGUGUUGUCUUUGGAUUAGAAAAAAAAAUGAAUUUGAUUCUUGUAUUACUUCCAUUUGUAGUUUAGUCUUUAGGGACAUUUGGUGAUUAUUAAGAGCCGAAUUUGAUGAUUAAAUUGCAAUAAAUUGUUUAAUUUCAGUGUUUUUGGUGGUGUUGUCUUUGGGUUUACCGGUGAGGGUAUUUUCGGGUGAAGACCAAAUUUUCCGGCUACAUAUCCGUUGAUUUCCGCCACUACAGGUUCUAUUAUUUCAUUUUUUUGUGAAUUUCGUAUUUGUAUGUGAAAAUUGCCAUAUGUGAAAAUUAGAUUGUAUAUUUGGUAUUUGUAUAAAUAUAUGUGAAUUUGGUGUAUAUAUGCCAAUGUAUGUGUGUUUGAUGUAUAUGUGGUGUAUGAGUAUUUGGUAGAAGUAUAUACAUGAUGUUAUUAUCUAUAUAUAUGUGAAAUUAUAUGUAUUUGUUAUAAGUAGGAUGUUAUUGUGUGUAUGUGAAUAUAUGUAUGUUUGUUGUAAAUGUGGUAUAUGAUUGUGAAAUUUUUGUAUUUGGUAUAAAUAGGAUGUUAUUAGCUAUAUAUGUGAAAAUAUGUGUAUUUAAUUUAAGUAGGAUGUUAUUUUGUGUGUAUGUGAAUGUAUUUGUAUUUGGUGUAUACGUGGUAUAUGUGUGUGAAAGUAUGUGAAUUUCAUUUUCUUGUGUAUUAUGUGGAAAAGUAUGUGGUUUUGGUAUAAGUAGGAUGCUAUACUGGUAUAGUCAAUGAUGUUUCUGAUUGCGAAACUGAUUACGAUGAGACCGAUUAUGAUUAUGAUACAGAAGAAGACACCGAAGGAUAUGAGGAAUAUUCUGAUUAGAACAGUUCUUGUUUAAAUAGAAAUGUUUAUUCCUAUGUAAAUGUUUAUUUCUAUGUAAUGUGUAUUUGUAAUAAAAAUUAUAUUUGUAUAUCUUAUAAGUUUUUCAAGAAAUGAUGACAAUAUGGCUUUUGUUUAUGUAUACCAUGGCAGCUGUUAUGGGUCGUGGACACGGGGGGUGAUGGAGCUGAGGACGCACCUCUCCCAGGUGGUAGAGGUGUUGGUCAUCACGAGCAGGACGGUAAGUCUUGUUAUGAAUUGUUGUUUACUAUUUUUGUUCAGCUAUUAUAAAUUAAAUACCGUUUCUAAUAAUUUUUAAUUACAUUUGUAGUUGAGCAACUUGCACAAAGGAAAGUUCGAGGCAAAUCGAAAAAUAUAAAGCUUGAAAAAACGAUCUUAUGGAACCAGGGCAAACCGAUUAGCAUGGAAUAUGAUAGGGAUAUCACAUUUGAUCCCGUAGGAGAGCCGAAAGACAUGUUUUCCCGAGAAGUUGGAAAAACAAUGUGGCAGAUGGUCCCUUUUGAUAAAUGCACUUGGAAAAAAGUUUCCCCUGCAAUACAGGACACCGUAUUACAACAUUUAGCGGCAGUUAUUUAUUUAAAUAUAUUUUAUAUGGUUAACUAUAAUUGUUUUUUACUUGGUUAACUUUUUUAUUUGUAGACAAAGUUUGAUUUAGAUUAGAUGUACCGAGAUGACAAGUUAAUAUGUUGACAGAGAGUUUCCAAGCAGCUUUGUUAAAAGGUUAUCGAGAACGUAAAGCUGACGCAAAAGAAUAUUUUAUGUUAGUCGGAGGGUAUGAAGAUAUCCCGAGAGCAAUAGCCAACCCUCCAGAGGGUAUGGAAGUUGAUAAGUGGAAAAAAGCAGUUGAGUAUUUCCAAACAAACGAACACAUAAUUGCUUCAGAAAAGAACAAAAAAAUCCGUGAAAUGCAAACAAAUGCGAAUCGUGGGGGUCGAGCUCGUAUAGCAGUAGUUGCUAUAAGAAGGUAACGUACGAUAUAUGUAAUUAUUUAUUUAAAAUAUAAUCUAAUUUUUAAAGUUAAACAGAACCUUAAGAGAGUGGAAACGUUUCGCAAAGCUCAUACCGAUAAGAAUGAUGUAUUUGUUACAACUGAGGCGGAACAACAAUAUGUAAGUAUUUAAUUAUAAUUUUAUCAUAUAGUUAAAUGUUUAUUUAUACUUAAUUGUUACUCACUUUUAGAAGUUAUAAAAUCGGUUAGUUGAAUAGUUGUUAGAACAAACUCAAGGUGAAAGUCAGUUAACACCCACUCAAGAAAGAACUGUGUUAGAGAAAGUAUUAGGAGAGCGACGUAGCCAUAUUAGAGGCAUCGGCCAUAAACCUUCUACUCUCCCGCCGAUUCCACAGCCUUCGCAACCAUCACCACAACCAUCACAGGUAAAACAAUCUACUUUGGUUUUGUGGUGAUUAUUUGCUAAACAGUUUGGUAAUUAGGUUUUUGUCCAAAGUGCAAAAAAUAACAACGUACUUUGGUUUUUUUGUCUUAGUUUAAAAAUAACAAUCUACUUUAGCAUCGUAAAAUGCAUGUUGAUUUGGUAAUUUUGGUUUUGUGGUGAUUAUUUGCUAAAAAGUUUGGUAAUUAGGUUUUUGUCCCAGGUGCAAAAAAUAACAACGUACUUUGGUUUUUUUUUAGUUUAAAAAUAACAAUCUACUUUAGCAUCGUAAAAUGUAUGUUGAUUUGGUAAUUUUGGUUUUGUAGUGAUUAUUUGCUAAAAACUUUGGUAAUUAGGUUUUUGUCCCAAAUGCAAAAAAUAACAACGUACAUUGGUUUUUGGUCUUAGUUUAAAAAUAGCAAUCUACUUUAGCAUCGUAAAAUGCAUGUUGAUUUGGUAAUUUUGGUUUUGUGGUGAUUAUUUGCUAAAAACUUUGGUAAUUAGAUUUGUGUCCCAAGUGCAAAAAUAACAACGUACUUUGGUUUCUUGUCUUAGUUUAAAAAUAACAAUGUAUUUUGAUAGUUUUUGUUUAUGUUUGAUAAUUGAACUUAUAAGUUUAUAUAUGUUGUUAUUAAUUAUGUAGUUGGAAAAUCUUUGUGCCAUGCUGAACGACCCGGCAUGUAGGGAUGAGCUGCAUUCGUUUUUUCAUUCCCAAAAUAAUCGAGGAAACGAUGGGAACGAAGAUGAUGGUAUGUAGGUCAGGAUGAGUUUUAUUUGCAUACGUUGUCAUGCUUUGCUACUUGGUAGAUUGUAAAACUUUGGUUGUUUUUUGUAAUUACCGGCGACACUAAUACCAGACGAUAUUAAUACCUUUUAUAUUUAAUCGGAUAUUAUGACUUUUGAUAUUUAAUUAAUUAUAAUCGGAUGUUUGUUUUGUAAUUAACGUCAACACUAUUAUUUUUUAUAUUUAAUCAAAUGUUGUUAUGUAAUUACCGAGUACAUUAUUACCAGCAAAAAAUAACAAUGUACUUUGGUUUUUUGUUUUAGUUUAAAAAUAACAAUGUAUUUUGAUAGUUUUGUUUAUGUUUGAUUAUUUAACUUAUAAGUUUAUAUAUGUUGUUAUUAAUUAUGUAGUUGGAAAAUCUUCGUGCAAUGUUGAACGACCCGACAUGUAGGGAUAAGCUGUAUUCGUUUUUUAAAUCUCAAUAAUCGAGGAAACGAUGAGAAUGACGAUGAUGGUAUGUAGGCCAGAUGAUUUUUUUUUUGUAUAUGUUGUCACACUUUGCUACUUGGUAGAUUGUAAACCUUUGGUUGUUUUUUGUAAUUACCGGCGACACUAAUACUGGACGUCAUUAUUACUUUUUAUUUUUAAUCUGAUAUUAUGACUUUUGAUAUUUAAUUAAUUAUAAUCGGAUGUUUGUUUUGUAAUUAGCGUCGACACUAUUAUUUUUGAUAUUUAAUUGAAUGUUGUUAUGUAAUUACCGAGUACAUUAUUACCGGCAACCAAAAUCGUUAAUUACAAAAAAAAUUAACAAAAAAAAAUGAAAAUUGUAAUUACUGGUGACAGAGUUAUUACCGGCGACAUGGUCAUUAACGGCGACAUCUAUCAUUAUCAGCGACACAGUCACUAACGGCGACAUCUAUCAUUAGCGGUGACAAGUUCAUCAAUAGCGAUGAAGUAGUAGCGACGACUUAUUACCGGCCGCUAUUACUAUUACCGGCGACAACUUGACUUAUUACUGGCGAUUUUUGUCGCCGCUAAUGAUCGUUUUCCUUGUAGUGUUAUGUAAUGAUAAGUAAAUUGUUUCACAUUUAGUAUAAGGAUAUUGCCUUACACCUACCACUUUUGCCUAGCAUCACAUAGAAAAUUACAAAUAAAAUGGAAAUACACUAAUGAAACAAGCAAGAUUUUAAAAAAAAAAAAAAACAAAAGGGAUCAAAACUUACAGGUGACCCAUGGCCAUCGGAAUCCACUUUGUUGUUUUUUUUAUUAAACAAUGAUUUCAUUCCACAACACUGAUGGAGUUCAUCUCACCUAAUUUUGUAAGUAUGCAAACUUUAGACACCAAGUAACAAGUAGAAUCACAAUAAAGAUCGCAUAUUAUUGGAUAUGCAUUCUUUGUUAAAAAUGCAUAGAGGAAAAAGCAGGAAAAGGAAAAAAGAAAAAUAAUGCUUUAUGACUGUUGUAGACCAUAAUUCCAUAAGAAAAACCACUUCAUGAUGUUUCUUAGUACCAAAUAAAAGACAUUUAAAAGUAAUAAACAAAUCAUCUAGUCAACAUAACUAGAUAACAAUAGGAGUGAACUACAACUACACUGCCUGCCAAUUCAUGAAGCCACGUGUCCAUUAAAGAUACAAGAAAAAGAGGUUAUCAUGUUAUGGCCAUGAAAAUUUACAUAUUAAAUAUAGAAAUAUGAGUAGAUCCAAGAGUUUGACAUAAUUCUAUUAUUAGUAAUAUGCAGAUCAAAGAAAGAGAUACAGGAAACAAAUUAAAUAUAGUUUAACUUAUGGAGUCCUAUAUGAUCACAUAAAUUUGAAUAAAACCUGGUGAUCUCAUAAAAUUAUUUUUUCAUAACAUUGAAUCUACAAAACGUUCUCAAACGAGCAACAAAACUAACCAAACACACCAGACUUUAUCUAUCAAAUGAUCAACAACACACUACCACAGAAACAAAACUAAAAAAUCAGAUUUUACAGAAAAAAAAAAUCAACGAAAAGAAGAUGAAGAAGACAGGGUGAUAGUAGAAUCCUAAACUAGAAAGAGUAAAAUCAAAAACCUAAUUGACAGAAGAAAAUCACAUCAUCAUUCUCAAUUACAGAAAAAACCCUAUAAACGUAAAAUAAAGAAAAGAAUAAAAAUAAUGAAACUUCCAGAGAGUUCUUCGAUUGCAGACAUGCAAUGGAUAGAUUUGGGUCUUGGGCGAACGUAGUUAGAGAGAUAUACAUGGGUCCAGGGGUGUUUGUAUUUUUUAAAGGAAAUUUCCGAUAAAGUCUCAAUAUUUUGGCCUAAUUUAUGGUUUAAUCUCAACUUUUAUUUUUUAAAUAGAAAAGUCCUAAUUAUUUUAUAUUUUGCCCAAAUUAACAAAAUAGUCUUUAAUUUUUUUUUUAUAGAAAAUGACAGAUUAUCAAAUAAAAUUAUAGAUAUUUUGGACUUUUCUGUUCAAAAUAUAAAUGUUGGGAUUAAACGGUAUAGUGACCCAAAAUAUUGAGACUUUAUCAGAGAUAUCAAUUUCUUUAAUCCUUUUUACGUCUAUUUUUUACAUAUAAUUUAUGGAUGUGCAGAUAUAACUUAUAAGAUGUCGGAUAUGUAAAUAUUAUGAGUUUGAAUUCUUCUAUCUUUUGAGACCAAAGCUUUAAUUUUGUUAAAUUCAUGCGUUGAACUACCAAAUAACAAAUAAUAGAGAUCAAGCGAUUACCCAAUGUUUCAUCAAGACAUUUUUUUCUUUUUUCAAAUUGUAAAUUAUUAUGACAUUUAAGCAAUAUAAUAAUUUAAUUGGUUAUACUUAUAAAUAAAUGAUAUUGAUUUAUAGGCUCACUUGCAUUUUUUUUAUAUAACUAUGUUCUUAUAGAACACAAUGUUUACUUGUAUAUUUAUAAGGGAUAGUGGCAAAAAUAACAACAUCAAUUAAAGAAUUUGACCCACUUUUUUUUCUUUAUAUCGAAACGACCCUUCAGUAUGGAAUGGACAUUUUGGAUUUAGGACAUUAUAUAAUUCAGGUUUAGUUUUUUAUUUGCACCAUCCAUUCCAAUUUAGUUUCUUUCAAAACGGUGUAUAAUCUUCAACAUUGAUAUAUUUUGCUUUUAUUUGGAUUGAGCGCCCAAAGUGGCCUAUAUGUCAGUUUUAAACGUUAAAAUAACAUCUUUUCGUUUCUAUGCUUGAUAUGUUGCAAUUCAUUUUAUCACAUAAGCCCCUGCUUAGUAGUAUGUGCCCGAAAUAGGACAUUCCUAACAGACGUGAAAAGAUGUUAUUAUAUUGACACCCACGAUCGAAAAAGACAUGAGGCUUUAGCGAUAUUAGAAAAAUAUGAUUGUUUCACCGAUCUAGGUUUAACUCCUCUCCCUGUUUAAAUUUCAUCUCCUUCUAAUUUCGAUCUAAGUUUGGAUCUUGAUUGAACGCCACUUGUGAUCCCCUUCAUCUCUCCGUCGCCUUCAGACAAAUAUUAAGCCAAUAUCGCCGACAUACACACCCCCCAUGCAUAGAUAGGGCUCAAAUCAAGAAAAAAAGGGAAGGACAUAUGAUUAAGCUUUAGAUGAAGGGGGAAGUGAUGCUAUUAACCCACUACAAUCUGAUUUCAAAUAAGCCCAUAAAGAUUUGUUUUAUUAUUUUUCAUAUAAAAGCAUUCUCACAAAAAUUUAUUCUUAAAUAAUUUGAUUUUGAUGAUAGUUAUUCUUAAAGAAUGC
RNAcentral lists this long non-coding RNA (20019 nucleotides) under Lactuca sativa (garden lettuce). RNAcentral describes it as "long non-coding RNA (LSAT_LNC003523)". Lineage: Eukaryota; Viridiplantae; Streptophyta; Magnoliopsida; Asterales; Asteraceae. The record is from RNAcentral.